UCCGGCCCCCGGGCCUUAGUUUGGGGACCCCUGUUCUAAGGCAUCAAAUAGUUGCUUAUGUAUAAAGCAACCUUGUGUCCCCUUCAGGGUUGAGAACAGCGGGGCAUAAAUAUGGUAAAUAAAUAAAUACCAAGAAGAGCCAAUGCAUGCUAUCGCCUUCAUGUCCUGUUCUUGUGUUUUCUAUAGGCAUCUAGUAGCCACUUUAGGAAAUAAGAUGCUCUACUAUAUAUGGCUCUGACCUAUCCCUGCUUUACCAAUGGCAGGUUACCUUUGUGCCUUAAACCCUGACUGAGAUGUGAAAGAAGGUGGCAUUUGUAAUUUGACUCCGUUGGUUAGUGUUCUUGUCUCUGGAACAGCAGAAAACAAGAUUACAGCAUCUUCCACAUUAUAUCCCUUCAGACAUUAAAGAUAGCCAUCUUAUCGCUUCUCAGUCACCUCAAUGGUAUAUGCACCCAGUUCCCUAAGCCAUUCCCACACCUUUGACCAUCUCAGUUGUUCUCCCCUGAACAUGUUCCAGCUUGUCAGUAUCCAGUUACUGACAAGCUGGAACUAUCCAGAUAACAUCUGAUCAAGCUGAAAAAAGUAGCACUGUUACUUCCCUCCAUCUGUUGCCCUUUUUGGCUGCUACAUCACACUAUCGCAAUGGUUCUCAACCUGUGGGUCCCCUGGUGUUUUGGCCUACAACUCCCAGAAAUUCCAGCCAGUUUACCAGCUGUUAGGAUUUCUGGGAUUUCUGAGAGUUGAAGGCUAAAACAUCUGGGGACCCACAGGUUGAGAACCACUGCACUACUGACUCGUGCUUGUGAUCUUCUCAGACUCCUAGAUCCUUUUCUACCAUGAAGAAAGGUGCCAUAAAAUCUUAUAAUUGUGCAUUUAAUUUUUCCUAUCAAAAUGUACUACCUUACAUUGAUAUAUGUUAAAGAUAAUUUUGUUAGCUAUUCAAUGUGUAAAGGUCAUUUUCAAUUGUAAUCCUGUCCUCUGGGAUAUUAGCUUCACCUCCUAAUUUGGCAUCAUCAACACAUUUUUCAUCACCCAAAUCACUUAUAAACAUGUCAAACACUACUGAACCCAGGACAGAGUGCUAUGGACUCCAGUAGUCACUUUGAUAGACUAAAGAGCAGCCACUGCUGAACACACUCUGUCCAUCAUCCAGUUAUAAAUUCACCUAACGUCAGCACUUAACCCACAUUUUAGCAGCUUGUCUGUGAGAAUUUCACAACUUUUCCUUGUCAUUUCAUAAGAUCUAUUGCUUUUUUAAAAAAAUGAAAUUUCUCAGGUAAUUUAUGAGCACAGCUGCUUCCUUGCUCCAGCAAUUGUAUCAAACCCACACUGCUAAAAGUGAUCAGGACAGCUAUCUUUCAAAAGCAACACAUAUACCCUGCUGUAAGAUUUUGUUGUGUAAGAUUUUUGCACAAGGUUUUUGUUGAACAAUUUUUUGUCACACAAGAUGUCUGCUUUUUAUAUAGAAAAAUGGCAAUCUGACUGGAAACAUAGUUUUUUAAUACACAGUCCUACAGUUCUAAUUAAAAAAUAUAUAUCUUUCUGCACAGAAUUAUUUCCUGAAAUACUCCAGUUUUUUAGUCAUGGGAAGAAAACUGGAAAUUAUUAGUCUUAAUGUGCGAGGACAGAAAGGUUGAAUAUUACCAUCCCUAAAAGGAGACUCUCUUCUUAGACUUGAUCAAGAGCGGCAGAAGUUACCUCUAGACUGGACUAUUGCAAUGCGCUCUACGUGGGGCUGCCUUGAAGAUGGCCUGUAAACUUCAACUGGUCCAAUGUUCUGCAGCCAGACUACUAACUGGAGCAAAUUACAGGGAGCAGUCAAUCCCUCUGUUUAAGGAGCUCCACUGGCUGCCGUUCAUCUUCCGGGCCCAAUUCAAAGUCUCUCUCUCUCUUGAACCCAACCCUUCCUUCUGGUUUCCUCAUUCACUGGGCUAAACCUGUAAUCAUAGGAGCUACAGAAGCAAACUGAAGUGAAUUGUGUCUCCAGGGAUCUGGUUUGCUAUGAGCUUGACCUUCCAUGUGCAGCUCCCAUCCUAUCCAGUUGAGUAUUUCAUUGCCUCUUAAAUGAUGUUAUGUAAUACAAAUACAACCAUUUGGGGGCUAUAUCUGAAUGAGUUUGGUGCUUACAUGUCUUCACUGGAUGAACUUACUACAUUGUAUCUUACACAAUCCGACUCUUGCUUUCAUACAGUGCAUUUUAGUUCCACUGUAGUCAAAUGAGUGCAUUGCACCAAGGCAAGUACUUUUUAAAGAGGAUAAAUGGUGCCGGUUGCUAGAUUUUCUUUUGAAUUGAGGAAAUAUAAGUCACACAUUGAAAUAAAAGUGUGCUGCUGGAGUUGGGAGAGCAAUUAGGGAAUGAAAAAGAAAAUAGUGGAUGGAUAAAUAAGUGAGGUGGCACUGGGAGAUCUGAAAUUGAGAAAAAAAACAGAUGUUGCAUGUCAUUAUAAAUGACACAAACAUCUGCAUAUUAUAAACUGCAGAAUCAUUUGGAAAGUUUGGGGGAGUUUCACUUCAUUUUAGCAUCAUUAGAACUUGCUUCUGUUUGAGUUUAUUGAAGCAGCCACUUUAAUGGCAAAGGGAUAAUUUGAUUUGCAAAGUGGGUAUAAUCAGAUGCAUGUGGCAAGCUAUUUGCAAUGCGGCAGCUGAACAGGCUCAUAAAGAUAUGCUCCAAUGAUGAUGAAAUGAAAGGAAGAAGAAUGCAAGCAGCAGCAUCAGAUCUGGAAAAUAUCAAGAUCAGAUAAAAGCGACAAUGGGGAAGAACUAAGCCUUCAUGUCAGAGCACCAAAUUAAAACAAGCAACAGACAAUGGAAGGAUAACAGUGUAUCUCAGAAGUGGGAGCAGCAUGUAAGCCAAAAUAAAUAAAUAAAUCACAUACCACCACAAUAAUGUGCAAAAGGGCUCAUGAAAGAAAAUCCCAACAUGGUCUUGUUCAGCCAAUUGAUUUACAAAUAAUAGAGAAACCAGGAGAUGAUGGGCAUUUCUUAAAGUAACCUGAAUCAUCCACCCGAAGGUCAGAAACAUGGAAAUAAGGCACAAAGCAGAAUUGAAGAGCAGAAAAAAUGGCAGCAUUCAGGAUACCUUGCAGCCAAGGGUCUAACUCUACGCCAAAGAAUGGUAUUGCCACUCAAUUCUCUUGCUUUUGUAAUUUUCCUUCAGUAUCCCAGUUUCUAAUAUAUCAAAGAAAGAUACUAAAAACAAUUCACACCUUAUAUUUGAUGUGAACAUAUUCCUUUGGUAACUUUUGUCUUCCUCCUUUUUUAGAUGUCUCAAAUGUAUUUCUAAAGGUUCAACUGAAAUUUUAAGUUAUUGUAAUGUGAGAAAUUUGGGAACUGAAGAAAAAUUAGAUCGAGGGAGAGGUUAUGUUCUCACCUUCCUCACCCUGCCUCCAACAAUAUUCCUGCUUGUAGUUCCAGAAAAUCCACUCUUUUUGAUGGUUCAGCCAGCUUGGGCACAGAAGUGAAUGUUCAAAAGAAUUG
Molecule: long non-coding RNA, 3477 nt
Organism: Anolis carolinensis (green anole)
Lineage: Eukaryota; Metazoa; Chordata; Lepidosauria; Squamata; Anolidae
Exons: 3
Source: RefSeq, a predicted model, not a curated record